UACAGAGGGCGCGAGCGUUGUCCGGAAUCACUGGGCGUAAAGGGCUCGUAGGCGGCCAACUAAGUCAGACGUGAAAUCCCUCGGCUUAACCGGGGAACUGCGUCUGAUACUGGAUGGCUUGAGUUUGGGAGAGGGAUGCGGAAUUCCAGGUGUAGCGGUGAAAUGCGUAGAUAUCUGGAGGAACACCGGUGGCGAAGGCGGCAUCCUGGACCAACACUGACGCUGAGUGAGCGAAAGCCAGGGGAGCAAACGGG
Molecule: ribosomal RNA, 254 nt
Filed under: uncultured bacterium
Lineage: Bacteria
Description: partial 16S ribosomal RNA
Rfam family: Bacterial small subunit ribosomal RNA
Source: RNAcentral